This is a long non-coding RNA of Chelonia mydas (Green sea turtle), 843 nucleotides long. RefSeq lists it as uncharacterized. NCBI's taxonomy places the organism in Eukaryota, Metazoa, Chordata, Testudines, Cheloniidae. The transcript has 3 exons. The record is from RefSeq and is a predicted model, not a curated record.
ACAAGCAGCUCUCUAUGGCAGCACAUUUCCCUUUUCACCAAUAGAGGGAGUAGAGAGCUCUUAACAUGCUGGAGCUUCUGGCCACACACCAUACAUAUAUUUAUAGUUAAAAUCCUGUUGUGCUUGAGUGGUACUGACUUUCUGAGCAAAAAUGAAUUAUUUUAUUUUUCAGUAAUCCAGAUCUGCUUUCUUACCCUAAGCAUUGCAACCAAAUUUAAAGGAAAACCCAUGAAAUAUCUAAUUUUUGCAAUGAUUAGCAACCCAUUAGGCAGUUUGAGACACAAGAAGUACAGCUUGCCUGUGAAAAGAUGAGAAGCAGGAGACUUUCAUCAUUCUUAUAAGUUGGAACUGAUACAUCCCCUCUAAAUGAUCCUCUUCAAAUAUUUUCCUCUCAAUACCCAUUUUAAGCACCUGCUAAGGAGGAAAAAAAAGCACCAAACCAAAAAAUUACUAAAUAAAGAUUUGUGUCUGAAAUAUUUCAAUCCAAAUAAUGUUUCAUCUACAUCUCUGGUGAAAAUGCUGAUAUGGAGUGGAAGGCCAAUACCAGACACCUGCACAGGAAAAGAAAUUUGCAAAAUUAGAGGAAAGGCCAUGUUCAUGAGAAAAUUACGUGGAUGUCCAAUAACAAAGUUAACAUUCUGUAGAUACAGCACCAAGUUAGCUUGUAUAUUGUUUAUUUAACAAUCCAUCAAGAAACUUACUCACUUGCUCUCUCAGCAAGUAAAACAGAUACAUGUAGGUGUAUGAUAUUUCCGUACUAAAUGGCAAAAUAAAAGACCAAGCUACUAAUGCCUCUCCUUCCCUUCCUUGCUCAUCCAAGCAGUUGCUGAAUUCGCUGCACAA